UACGUAGGCAGCAAGCGUUGUUCGGAGUUACUGGGCGUAAAGGGUGUGUAGGCGGUCUUCUAAGUCUGGUGUGAAAUCUCCCGGCUUAACUGGGAGGGGCCGUGCGAAACUGCCGGGCUUGAGGUCGGAAGGGGAAAGUGGAAUUCCGGGUGUAGUGGUGGAAUACGUAGAUAUCCGGAGGAACACCAGCGGCGAAGGCGGCUUUCUGGUCCGAUACUGACGCUGAGGUGCGAAAGCGUGGGGAGCGAUCCGG
RNAcentral lists this ribosomal RNA (253 nucleotides) under uncultured bacterium. Its description in RNAcentral is "partial 16S ribosomal RNA". It matches the Rfam family "Bacterial small subunit ribosomal RNA", at positions 524 to 776 of the family's 1533-position model. The record is from RNAcentral.